GUGGAACGAGCGGCGGACGGGUGAGUAACACGUAGGCAACCUGCCUGUAAGACUGGGAUAACUCGCGGAAACGCGAGCUAAUACCGGAUAAUACUUAUUAUCUCCUGAUGGUAAGUUGAAAGGCGGCUUUUGCUGUCACUUACAGAUGGGCCUGCGGCGCAUUAGCUAGUUGGUGGGGUAACGGCUCACCAAGGCGACGAUGCGUAGCCGACCUGAGAGGGUGAUCGGCCACACUGGGACUGAGACACGGCCCAGACUCCUACGGGAGGCAGCAGUAGGGAAUCUUCCGCAAUGGACGAAAGUCUGACGGAGCAACGCCGCGUGAGUGAUGAAGGUUUUCGGAUCGUAAAACUCUGUUGUCGGGGAAGAACAAGUAUGAUAGUAACUGAUCGUACCUUGACGGGUACCCGACCAGAAAGCCACGGCUAACUACGUGCCAGCAGCCGCGGUAAUACGUAGGUGGCAAGCGUUGUCCGGAAUUAUUGGGCGU
This 490-nucleotide ribosomal RNA is filed under the name Oceanobacillus sojae. RNAcentral's name for it is "bacterial SSU rRNA". It matches the Rfam family "Bacterial small subunit ribosomal RNA", at positions 86 to 561 of the family's 1533-position model. The record is from RNAcentral. Lineage: Bacteria; Bacillati; Bacillota; Bacilli; Caryophanales; Bacillaceae.